CGCUGUACAACUGGCGGAAGAUGCUUAAAUGGCAUUGUGGGAUAACCCACAGGGAGUACAGUUUAUAUUAAGAAAAGCCGACCGCCUGGGCAACG
This 95-nucleotide non-coding RNA is filed under the name Lachnospira eligens. RNAcentral describes it as "ZMP/ZTP riboswitch". It matches the Rfam family "ZMP/ZTP riboswitch aptamer (pfl RNA motif)". From Rfam's summary of the family: Previously known as pfl RNA. ZMP is also known as AICAR. Lineage: Bacteria; Bacillati; Bacillota; Clostridia; Lachnospirales; Lachnospiraceae. The record is from RNAcentral.